This 467-nucleotide ribosomal RNA is filed under the name uncultured bacterium. Its description in RNAcentral is "partial 16S ribosomal RNA". It matches the Rfam family "Bacterial small subunit ribosomal RNA", at positions 28 to 507 of the family's 1533-position model. The record is from RNAcentral.
GACGAACGCUGGCGGCGUGCUUAACACAUGCAAGUCGAACGGAAAGGCUCCAGCUUGCUGGAGUACUCGAGUGGCGAACGGGUGAGUAACACGUGGGUAAUCUGCCCUGCACUCUGGGAUAAGCCUGGGAAACUGGGUCUAAUACUGGAUAUGACCUUUCUCCUUAUGGGGGUUGGUGGAAAGUUUUGCGGUGUAGGAUGAGCCCGCGGCCUAUCAGCUUGUUGGUGGGGUGAUGGCCUACCAAGGCGACGACGGGUAGCCGGCCUGAGAGGGUGAUCGGCCACAUUGGGACUGAGAUACGGCCCAGACUCCUACGGGAGGCAGCAGUGGGGAAUAUUGCACAAUGGGCGGAAGCCUGAUGCAGCGACGCCGCGUGAGGGAUGACGGCCUUCGGGUUGUAAACCUCUUUCAGCAGGGACGAAGCGUAAGUGACGGUACCUGCAGAAGAAGCACCGGCUAACUAUGUG